This 147-nucleotide signal recognition particle RNA is filed under the name Gorilla gorilla gorilla (western lowland gorilla). RNAcentral's name for it is "Metazoan signal recognition particle RNA". It matches the Rfam family "Metazoan signal recognition particle RNA". From Rfam's summary of the family: The signal recognition particle (SRP) is a universally conserved ribonucleoprotein. Lineage: Eukaryota; Metazoa; Chordata; Mammalia; Primates; Hominidae. The record is from Rfam by way of RNAcentral.
GCCAGGCAUGGUGGUGCACGCCUGUAGUCCAGCUACUCGGGAGGCUGAGGCGGGAGAAUUGCUUGAACCCAGGAGGUGGAGGUUGCAGUGAGCCAAGAUGGCGCCACUGUACUCCAGCCUGGGUGACAGAGCAAGACUCCGUCUCAA